RNAcentral lists this ribosomal RNA (496 nucleotides) under uncultured bacterium. RNAcentral describes it as "partial 16S ribosomal RNA". It matches the Rfam family "Bacterial small subunit ribosomal RNA", at positions 28 to 506 of the family's 1533-position model. The record is from RNAcentral.
GAUGAACGCUGGCGGCGUGCCUAAUACAUGCAAGUCGAGCGAACAGAUGAGGAGCUUGCUCCUCUGACGUUAGCGGCGGACGGGUGAGUAACACGUGGAUAACCUACCUAUAAGACUGGGAUAACUUCGGGAAACCGGAGCUAAUACCGGAUAAUAUAUUGAACCGCAUGGUUCAAUAGUGAAAGACGGUUUUGCUGUCACUUAUAGAUGGAUCCGCGCCGCAUUAGCUAGUUGGUAAGGUAACGGCUUACCAAGGCAACGAUGCGUAGCCGACCUGAGAGGGUGAUCGGCCACACUGGAACUGAGACACGGUCCAGACUCCUACGGGAGGCAGCAGUAGGGAAUCUGCCGCAAUGGGCGAAAGCCUGACGGAGCAACGCCGCGUGAGUGAUGAAGGUCUUCGGAUCGUAAAACUCUGUUAUUAGGGAAGAACAAAUGUGUAAGUAACUAUGCACGUCUGGACGGUACCUAAUCAGAAAGCCACGGCGAACUACGU